This 403-nucleotide ribosomal RNA is filed under the name uncultured bacterium. RNAcentral's name for it is "bacterial SSU rRNA". It matches the Rfam family "Bacterial small subunit ribosomal RNA", at positions 28 to 436 of the family's 1533-position model. The record is from RNAcentral.
GUUAAACGCUGGCGGCAUGCCUUACACAUGCAAGUCGAACGGCAGCACGGGGGCAACCCUGGUGGCGAGUGGCGGACGGGUGAGUAACACAUCGGAACGUGCCCUGGAGUGGGGGAUAACGCAGCGAAAGCUACGCUAAUACCGCAUAUUCUGUGAGCAGGAAAGCAGGGGAUCGCAAGACCUUGCGCUUUGGGAGCGGCCGAUGUCGGAUUAGCUAGUUGGUGGGGUAAAGGCUUACCAAGGCGACGAUCCGUAGCGGGUCUGAGAGGAUGAUCCGCCACACUGGGACUGAGACACGGCCCAGACUCCUACGGGAGGCAGCAGUGGGGAAUUUUGGACAAUGGGCGGAAGCCUGAUCCAGCCAUGCCGCGUGAGUGAAGAAGGCCUCGGUUGUAAGUACGUC